UGUUUGCCUCCGCCCGCUGGACUUCUCCAGUGUCGCUGCUCCCUAAUCAAUCUCACUGGUGCCGCCGUUCUCUCCCAUCUCUGACCUUCUUCUCCGGUGGCUCUUCGUCCCGCACCCUUUCUUCCCCGGCUGGAGGGUGCACAUCGGGGAUGAGGAGCACGCAGGGAACUCGAGGUCGUGUCGAAGCCUGGAUGCGUGGCUGCACACAGUGAGGAACACAACAUCCUCUCGCCCGUCCCCUCUUCUACCUUGGAGCUUCCUUUGGGACGAGCAGGUUUUCUUUCUUGACUCCUGGACUUGGACGCAAACCUAGUUGUGCAUGUGGCCGUGGGGGUUGGCCGGUGGCACGGUUGGCGGCGGCGGCUCGUCUAUUUACUGUCGCACGCAGGCACGCCGAGGCCGCGCGCAACGAGGAACACGUCAUCCUCUCGCCUUGCUUCAAGUUCCAAACUGUUCGCAGGUGCACUGCUGAAAAUUCAGUAGAACAUGGUGCUCCUAGAAAUACUGGUCAUCUGGGAACUUCGGCAACCUUUGGCUUUUCAAGUUUGACAGUCCGUUAAAAAGCAACUCUAUCCAAGUGAGAAGAUCAAUAUACUUACCAAUGGACCUUUUACAAAUUUGGCCAACGUUAUUCUCUCUGACAAGAAUGCAAGUCCUGUAAUAGAGAGUGUAUAUGUUGUUGGAGGACAUGCCAGAGAUGAAAAUGAUUAAAAUGGAAACGUGUUCACUAUUCCAUGUAAUAGAUAUGCGGAAUUUAAUACAUUUCUUGAUCCCAUAGCUGCGAUAGUAGUUCUAGAGUGCACUCUGGAUAUCA
Molecule: long non-coding RNA, 814 nt
Organism: Lolium perenne
Lineage: Eukaryota; Viridiplantae; Streptophyta; Magnoliopsida; Poales; Poaceae
Source: RefSeq, a predicted model, not a curated record